Non-coding RNA from Struthio camelus australis, 3072 nucleotides. Lineage: Eukaryota; Metazoa; Chordata; Aves; Struthioniformes; Struthionidae. The record is from RefSeq and is a predicted model, not a curated record.
CAAGAACCAUGUUGGCAUUGUUUGGAGUGGCAAGCUUAUUGGCAGCUCAUCUGUACAUCAUUGACAGUAGCCAGCUGCAUACCAAGGCUGAGGAUGGACACCCACAUUCUUCUCACUUCUCCUGAACCAAGAUGAACACUAGAUUGGGUCAGGUUAAGCUGCCACCGAUGAUGGAAAUCAUAACGGCUGAACAACUGAUGGAAUAUUUAGGAGAUUAUAUUCUUGAUGCUAAGCCUAAAGAGAUAUCUGAAAUUCAGCGUCUAAAUUAUGAGCAGAAUAUGAGUGAUGCAAUGGCGAUUCUACAUAAGUUACAGACAGGUCUGGAUGUGAAUGUGAAGUUCACAGGUGUGCGAGUAUUUGAAUAUACACCUGAAUGCAUAGUGUUUGAUCUUCUUGAUAUCCCUUUGUACCAUGGAUGGUUAGUGGACCCUCAGGUUGCUGACAUUGUAAAAGCAGUUGGUAACUGCAGUUACAAUCAGUUAGUGGAGAAGAUAAUUUCUUGUAAACAGUCAGACAACAGUGAACUGGUUAGUGAAGGAUUUGUAGCUGAGCAAUUUCUAAAUAACACAGCCACGCAGUUGACAUACCAUGGGCUGUGUGAGUUGACUUCAGCUGUCCAGGAGGGAGAGCUUUGUGUGUUCUUCAGGAACAACCAUUUUAGCACCAUGACCAAAUAUAAGGGUCAGCUUUACCUGUUGGUGACAGACCAGGGUUUUCUUACAGAAGAGAAAGUUGUUUGGGAAAGCUUACACAACGUGGAUGGUGAUGGAAAUUUCUGUGAUUCUGAAUUCCACCUGCGGCCUCCAUCGGACCCUGAAACUGUCUACAGAGGGCAACAGGAUCAAAUAGAUCAAGAUUAUCUGAUGGCAUUGUCUCUGCAACAAGAGCAGCAAAACCAAGAGAUUAACUGGGAGCAGAUUCCAGAAGGAAUCAGUGAUCUGGAGCUAGCAAAGAAGCUCCAGGAAGAGGAGGACAGACGAGCUUCUCAGUACUAUCAGGAACAAGAACAAGCAGCCGCUCAAGUCCAGCAGGUGCAAGGUGCUGCUUCUCCAGCAAGUGGAAGACAAUCUGGGAGUACUGAACGCAAGCGUAAAGAGCCUCGAGAGAAAGAGAGAGAAAAAGAGAAGAAUAGCUGUGUCCUCUUGUAAUAGGAAAUGGAUUUAGUCUGGAGCCAAGUGCAUGUCCUCAAAAGCAAAAACAAGGAGUGAAAAAGGAAGACAAACCCGUUACAUGCCGCCUGUGCCUGAUUAUCCCAUGGAUUUUGUUCACGUUUCAGGAGAGGAUGGGUGACUUUAUUACAAUCAUACCGACUUUCUUCAAAGUCCUACUGCGUGCUGUUUGAGAUGGAAUUCCAAAUCACAGUUGGAUGCGGCUGUGCUUUGAGUUAGUCAUAAGAAAUACUGCACCUUGUAGCUGAACACACAAAUCAUGGUCUUGAAGCUUUGGAAAAAAGAUCUGUAACCUGAAGUAGCUCAUUGCUCAAAUCAACUCUCUGACCAUUGGAAUGCUUAUCACAGUUGCUCACUGAAGUUUAUACAAAGUCUGAACUUCAAAACACGUACUGCGUGAAUUAAGAGCUGUAUGUAUUUUAUAUAAAAGUGAACUUUUUUUUUUAAGGUUGUAACCUUAAAUAGCAGGUAACUCAAGAUACGCAAGUUAAUUGAUGCAGUGUCUUCAACAGAAAGCAUAUUAGGGAAAAGCAGAAAUAACAAACCUUAGUUUGGCUGUAAUAUAAUGUUGAAAUAUUUCCCUAUACAUGCUAUGAGAGCAUGGCCUUGGUAACAAGAAAAAUCUGAUACUGAAAAAUGUUUAUGUAGCCUAGAGUGAUGCCAACAAGGACAAGCAGCGAUGUAAGAAUUAAAAUAUGCAUGUUUCAUCUUGUGAUUCAAUAUAAUCACUUAAUUCUUUUGGGCUUUUUAAUAAGCACAUGCAGCAACAGAGUGGUAGCACUGUUAUUUUGAGUGGGAAGAUUUGGUGAGGCGAAUGACAGUUUCUCAUCCGAAUUUAAUUAUGUGGUAGUCUAUUUGAUCUUAAUUUCCAUACUAUUUCCAUAUAGCCACUUUUUGUUAACAGCUUGUUCUUACAGUUGUCCAGUAGAAAAGCAGUGUUUUUAAGCUCAACUGUCCUGCGCCCUGAAAGGGAAGAUGGGGAGGCAGGGGAAAUGCAGGGGAGGAAAGCAAGGUAGGAAUAUAAAGGUCUCUACGCUACCUACUUUUCUUGAGAUUGUUUAGGGAUUUGCCCAUAAUUUUGCUAUUAUUUUAGCCACUGGUGUGGCUAGGGACAACUUUCUCAGCUGUAUCUAGCUGCAGCAUAGCAGGUACUGGCCAAAUACCCUCACCCAAGUAAUGACUAGCAUGCUCCCUUCAUAGGGGGUUGGCAUUGUUUGUCCCUGUACACACUCUUCACUCUCACAAUGCUUCCAGGUCAAGACUGUAGCUGUUUUAACUCUCUAACAACUCAAAAGCCUUUUGUUAAAUGUCAGUCUUGUACAGUUUAACUUUGCUCUUUAGGUGAGCGCGCUCUCUCUCAUUAUGAGCUCUCUCUACCUAAAAGUUACUUCUGAAGAACUACCUAAACUUGGAAGUUCUUUACUGCCUUGAACGUUAUUUUCCUGCCUUGUAGGAUUACUUAGCUUGUGGAGAAGUUUCAUGUGUUGAAAUGAGAAAUUCCUUGGUCUUUGAGUUAAAGAAUCUAGUUAAGUAUCUGUAGAAGUCAAGAUCCCUUGUUCACUUGUACUUGACAGCGUAAUUUUCAACAAAAUGUUGUUAGGCCUGAGAAAUCCAUAGGGAAGAAUUCAAAUAAAAGUUUGUGUACUCAACUGAAAAGUACUAGCUUAGUAUAAACAGUAUUCUUGCAAACUAACUUAUUGUAACAACAUGGUGAAAAUUGAGGCAUGUUUCUCUAGAUGUAAUCUGCUGGUGAAACACGAAAUAAGACACUACAGAUGCUUUUGUAAUUAGUUGGGUUAUAAAUUUAAGGAAGCAGGUGGUGGUGAUGUGGCUAACAGUCCUGCUGGGGCCAAAAGUGAGUGAAAUGUGAUUAUCUGAUAUAGUCAAACACAAAGUCAAAUGU